RNAcentral lists this ribosomal RNA (253 nucleotides) under uncultured bacterium. RNAcentral's name for it is "partial 16S ribosomal RNA". It matches the Rfam family "Bacterial small subunit ribosomal RNA", at positions 524 to 776 of the family's 1533-position model. The record is from RNAcentral.
UACGGAGGGUGCGAGCGUUGUCCGGAAUCAUUGGGCGUAAAGGGCGCGUAGGUGGCGGCUUAAGCGUGCGGUGAAAGCUCGGGGCUCAACCUCGGAUCGGCCGUGGCGACUCGUGGGCUGGAGCACUGUAGAGGCGGGUGGAAUUCCGGGUGGAGUGGUGAAAUGCGUAGAGAUCCGGAGGAACACCAAAGGCGAAGGCAGUGUCCUGGGGAGUACCUGACGCUCAGGUGCGAAAGCCAGGGGAGCGAACGGG